AUUGAGUAGCCGAGGAAAAUAUUCUUUGAGCUUUAGAUGCAAGACUUGCAAAGAUGCUCACACUAAUAUUUCGAGAUGAAGCAUUUUCCUCCAAACACAUACCAAGAAUUAGUGUUUGCUUCUGAUUGGCCAUUGACAAGAAUGGUGUCUUUCUAGAUUUAUCAAUGGUCAGGGUUCAUCUUGAUUAACCUUCAUUUGUGAGGUCUUGUCCUUCGAACACAUACGAACAACACAAAAGAAACUAGAGUAGUCAACGAUCAUUGCAAAAAGAAAUCUGGAUUUGUUUGCAGACAUGACAUUAG
Molecule: long non-coding RNA, 302 nt
Filed under: Daucus carota (carrot)
Lineage: Eukaryota; Viridiplantae; Streptophyta; Magnoliopsida; Apiales; Apiaceae
Description: long non-coding RNA (DCAR_LNC000175)
Source: RNAcentral